GCGUGGGUAGUAUAGUGGUUAGUAUGUCGCCCUUCCAAGGCGACGGCCCGGGUUCGAGUCCCGGCCCGCGCA
This 72-nucleotide transfer RNA is filed under the name Candidatus Pacearchaeota archaeon CG1_02_35_32. RNAcentral's name for it is "tRNA-Gly". It matches the Rfam family "tRNA". Rfam says of the family: Transfer RNA (tRNA) molecules are approximately 80 nucleotides in length. Their secondary structure includes four short double-helical elements and three loops (D, anti-codon, and T loops). Further hydrogen bonds mediate the characteristic L-shaped molecular structure. tRNAs have two regions of fundamental functional importance: the anti-codon, which is responsible for specific mRNA codon recognition, and the 3' end, to which the tRNAs corresponding amino acid is attached (by aminoacyl-tRNA synthetases). tRNAs cope with the degeneracy of the genetic code in two manners: having more than one tRNA (with a specific anti-codon) for a particular amino acid; and 'wobble' base-pairing, i.e. permitting non-standard base-pairing at the 3rd anti-codon position. RNAcentral also lists the same sequence under 6 other names. The record is from RNAcentral. Lineage: Archaea; Nanobdellati.